RNAcentral lists this ribosomal RNA (724 nucleotides) under Contracaecum mirounga. Its description in RNAcentral is "LSU rRNA". It matches the Rfam family "Eukaryotic large subunit ribosomal RNA", at positions 103 to 665 of the family's 3401-position model. Lineage: Eukaryota; Metazoa; Nematoda; Chromadorea; Rhabditida; Anisakidae. The record is from RNAcentral.
AAAAGCCCAGCGCUGAAUCCAUCGGCCACUGGUCGCUUGGAGUUGUAGCGUAUAGGUGCGGCUGUCCGUUCGUUUCGCGCACCCAAAGUCCCCUUGAGCGGGGCUACAGUCCGAAGAAGGUGCUAGACCUGUACGGGUGGCGAGACGAUCGGUUGGUCGCUCCUUGGAGUCGGGUUGCCUGGGAUCGCAGCCCAAAGUUGGUGGUAGACCUCAUCUAAGGCUAAAUAUGGCCACGAAACCGAUAGCAAACAAGUACCGUGAGGGAAAGUUGCAAAGAACUUUGAAGAGAGAGUUCAAGAGGGCGUGAAACCGCUGAGAUGGAAACGGAUAGAGUUGACGGAGCUCUGCUGCAUUCACCCGAUCGGCCCAGCGGUCCGACGGCUUUGACUUCCUCGAUGAGGGCAAGGCUGCUGGUAGCUGUUGGGUAUUUGAUCGGUGUAUUUGCGGCUGGUAUGCGCUGAGGGCUUUGUGAGCGCAUGUCGACGGGCGUGGAGUGGACCAUACCUUUCCGGUGUGGAACCCUUCGCGCUCUUAGGCAUGUCGCUUGUAAAGUUUUAAGUGCCGUCUCCGCUAUGGUGCAUCGGCUUUGUCGAGCUGUUGUGGCUUCAGGCUGGUCGCAUGCGACCGUCGGUCGUCGUCAACGGCGCGCCAAAGCACAGAUGCGCCGAGAUGUGCACCUCGGUGUGAACGUUGACCACCUAUCCGACCCGUCUUGAAACACGGA